GUUCAUAGAAUAAUCUUGAACUGCAGCCUCAUUAGCCGAACUAACACUUUACAUUCUGAUGUCGAGACGAAUUAGAUAAAUGUUCCUGCGUGUUCAAUGAAUUUGGAUGAGACGGCGCCUGGGAUGGCUGAGCGGCAGUUGCGUCAUCAUUCGUGUUCGGUGGAAUUGAGUUCAUUGCAAUAAAAGUAAAUAAGACUUUCUGAAUAAUAAAUUAAUGUAAUUCUCAAUAAAUAAUUUUCACAAUAAUAAGGUA
This is a long non-coding RNA of Bombyx mori (domestic silkworm), 253 nucleotides long. RefSeq lists it as uncharacterized. NCBI's taxonomy places the organism in Eukaryota, Metazoa, Arthropoda, Insecta, Lepidoptera, Bombycidae. The transcript has 2 exons. The record is from RefSeq and is a predicted model, not a curated record.